ACAUGCAAGUCGAGCGGUAGAGAGAAGCUUGCUUCUCUUGAGAGCGGCGGACGGGUGAGUAAUGCCUAGGAAUCUGCCUGGUAGUGGGGGAUAACGUUCGGAAACGGACGCUAAUACCGCAUACGUCCUACGGGAGAAAGCAGGGGACCUUCGGGCCUUGCGCUAUCAGAUGAGCCUAGGUCGGAUUAGCUAGUUGGUGAGGUAAUGGCUCACCAAGGCGACGAUCCGUAACUGUCUGAGAGGAUGAUCAGUCACACUGGAACUGAGACACGGUCCAGACUCCUACGGGAGGCAGCAGUGGGGAAUAUUGGACAAUGGGCGAAAGCCUGAUCCAGCCAUGCCGCGUGUGUGAAGAAGGUCUUCGGAUUGUAAAGCACUUUAAGUUGGGAGGAAGGGCAGUAACCUAAUACGUUGCUGUUUUGACGUUACCGACAGAAUAAGCACCGGCUAACUCUGUGCCAGCAGCCGCGGUAAUACAGAGGGUGCAACGUUAAUCGGAAUUACUGGGCGUAAAGCGCGCGUAGGUGGUUCGUUAAGUUGGAUGUGAAAUCCCCGGGCUCAACCUGGGAACUGCAUUCAAAACUGACGAGCUAGAGUAUGGUAGAGGGUGGUGGAAUUUCCUGUGUAGCGGUGAAAUGCGUAGAUAUAGGAAGGAACACCAGUGGCGAAGGCGACCACCUGGGACUGAUACUGACACUGAAGUGCGAAAG
RNAcentral lists this ribosomal RNA (710 nucleotides) under Pseudomonas sp. GOBB3-104-2. Its description in RNAcentral is "bacterial SSU rRNA". It matches the Rfam family "Bacterial small subunit ribosomal RNA", at positions 53 to 759 of the family's 1533-position model. The record is from RNAcentral. Lineage: Bacteria; Pseudomonadati; Pseudomonadota; Gammaproteobacteria; Pseudomonadales; Pseudomonadaceae.